GGAAUAUUGGUCAAUGGCCGGAAGGCUGAACCAGCCAAGUCGCGUGAGGGAAUAAGGCCCUACGGGUCGUAAACCUCUUUUGUCAGGGAGCAAGGCCGCCCACGUGUGGACGGAAGGAGAGUACCUGGAGAAAAAGCAUCGGCUAACUCCGUGCCAGCAGCCGCGGUAAUACGGAGGAUGCGAGCGUUAUCCGGAUUUAUUGGGUUUAAAGGGUGCGUAGGCGGCCUGCCAAGUCAGCGGUAAAAUUGCGGGGCUCAACCCCGUACAGCCGUUGAAACUGACGGUCUUGAGUGGGCGAGAAGUAUGCGGAAUGCGUGGUGUAGCGGUGAAAUGCAUAGAUAUCACGCAGAACUCCGAUUGCGAAGGCAGCAUACCGGCGCCCAACUGACGCUGAAGCACGAAAGCGUGGGUAUCGAAC
RNAcentral lists this ribosomal RNA (418 nucleotides) under uncultured bacterium. Its description in RNAcentral is "bacterial SSU rRNA". It matches the Rfam family "Bacterial small subunit ribosomal RNA", at positions 358 to 773 of the family's 1533-position model. The record is from RNAcentral.